CUAUACAUCAACUAAAAAAAAGAGAGAGAAGAAUCUGGAAAAGACAAAAUCUAUGAGACCUUGCUCCACAUUGCUUGUCGUGAUGCUUGAGGCUAAAGAAGAUGGCUUCUGCUUUAAUACAUUGAGGCCUAGAGGAACGUAAAGUGGGCUCAGAUUCCUGGUGGUCUUCGCUAGACAGCAAAGCAUGCUUGGAAGAUUUCCUGGUGAGAACCUGAGACCCUGUAAGAACUCUGAGGUCAAGGACAAUGUUUCUCCUGUUCAUAGCUCUAUUCAGGACACCUAAUAAAGACUUCUAAGCCAGUCUAUGAAGGAUGUUUCUGAAUCUUCCAAUCAGAGAACCUGGACUAUAAGUUGCAGGUGGAGCAGUCAUCUUGUGUUUAUAAAAUGACCAAAGGAAUAAAAAAGAAAUGCUAAAGAUGGCAGAACAUAAAGAGAGUAGACUGGGGUUUUAGUAAUAUCAUGGAUUUACUGCACCAGCCCUGCACUGCCUAUCUAUAGCCAUCUAUUUUUUUUUUUGUAUGACAAAAUAAUCCCCCUUUUGGAUAAUUCACAAUAGGUUAGUGGGUGAAAUGUACAGCUAUUGGAACACCUAUAUAG
Molecule: long non-coding RNA, 597 nt
Organism: Physeter macrocephalus (sperm whale)
Lineage: Eukaryota; Metazoa; Chordata; Mammalia; Artiodactyla; Physeteridae
Exons: 3
Source: RefSeq, a predicted model, not a curated record